UUAAGCGACUAAGCGUACACGGUGGAUGCCCUGGCAGUCAGAGGCGAUGAAGGACGUGCUAAUCUGCGAUAAGCGUCGGUGAGGUGAUAUGAACCGUUAUAACCGGCGAUUUCCGAAUGGGGAAACCCAGUGUGUUUCGACACACUAUCAUUAACUGAAUCCAUAGGUUAAUGAGGCGAACCGGGGGAACUGAAACAUCUAAGUACCCCGAGGAAAAGAAAUCAACCGAGAUUCCCCCAGUAGCGGCGAGCGAACGGGGAGGAGCCCAGAGCCUGAAUCAGUGUGUGUGUUAGUGGAAGCGUCUGGAAAGGCGCGCGAUACAGGGUGACAGCCCCGUACACAAAAAUGCACAUAUUGUGAGCUCGAUGAGUAGGGCGGGACACGUGGUAUCCUGUCUGAAUAUGGGGGGACCAUCCUCCAAGGCUAAAUACUCCUGACUGACCGAUAGUGAACCAGUACCGUGAGGGAAAGGCGAAAAGAACCCCGGCGAGGGGAGUGAAAAAGAACCUGAAACCGUGUACGUACAAGCAGUGGGAGCCUCUUAAUGGGGUGACUGCGUACCUUUUGUAUAAUGGGUCAGCGACUUAUAUUCUGUAGCAAGGUUAACCGAAUAGGGGAGCCGAAGGGAAACCGAGUCUUAACUGGGCGUUAAGUUGCAGGGUAUAGACCCGAAACCCGGUGAUCUAGCCAUGGGCAGGUUGAAGGUUGGGUAACACUAACUGGAGGACCGAACCGACUAAUGUUGAAAAAUUAGCGGAUGACUUGUGGCUGGGGGUGAAAGGCCAAUCAAACCGGGAGAUAGCUGGUUCUCCCCGAAAGCUAUUUAGGUAGCGCCUCGUGAAUUCAUCUCCGGGGGUAGAGCACUGUUUCGGCAAGGGGGUCAUCCCGACUUACCAACCCGAUGCAAACUGCGAAUACCGGAGAAUGUUAUCACGGGAGACACACGGCGGGUGCUAACGUCCGUCGUGAAGAGGGAAACAACCCAGACCGCCAGCUAAGGUCCCAAAGUCAUGGUUAAGUGGGAAACGAUGUGGGAAGGCCCAGACAGCCAGGAUGUUGGCUUAGAAGCAGCCAUCAUUUAAAGAAAGCGUAAUAGCUCACUGGUCGAGUCGGCCUGCGCGGAAGAUGUAACGGGGCUAAACCAUGCACCGAAGCUGCGGCAGCGACGCUUAUGCGUUGUUGGGUAGGGGAGCGUUCUGUAAGCCUGUGAAGGUGGCCUGUGAGGGUUGCUGGAGGUAUCAGAAGUGCGAAUGCUGACAUAAGUAACGAUAAAGCGGGUGAAAAGCCCGCUCGCCGGAAGACCAAGGGUUCCUGUCCAACGUUAAUCGGGGCAGGGUGAGUCGACCCCUAAGGCGAGGCCGAAAGGCGUAGUCGAUGGGAAACAGGUUAAUAUUCCUGUACUUGGUGUUACUGCGAAGGGGGGACGGAGAAGGCUAUGUUGGCCGGGCGACGGUUGUCCCGGUUUAAGCGUGUAGGCUGGUUUUCCAGGCAAAUCCGGAAAACCAAGGCUGAGGCGUGAUGACGAGGCACUACGGUGCUGAAGCGACAAAUGCCCUGCUUCCAGGAAAAGCCUCUAAGCAUCAGGUAACAUCAAAUCGUACCCCAAACCGACACAGGUGGUCAGGUAGAGAAUACCAAGGCGCUUGAGAGAACUCGGGUGAAGGAACUAGGCAAAAUGGUGCCGUAACUUCGGGAGAAGGCACGCUGAUAUGUAGGUGAAGCGACUUGCUCGUGGAGCUGAAAUCAGUCGAAGAUACCAGCUGGCUGCAACUGUUUAUUAAAAACACAGCACUGUGCAAACACGAAAGUGGACGUAUACGGUGUGACGCCUGCCCGGUGCCGGAAGGUUAAUUGAUGGGGUUAGCGGUAACGCGAAGCUCUUGAUCGAAGCCCCGGUAAACGGCGGCCGUAACUAUAACGGUCCUAAGGUAGCGAAAUUCCUUGUCGGGUAAGUUCCGACCUGCACGAAUGGCGUAAUGAUGGCCAGGCUGUCUCCACCCGAGACUCAGUGAAAUUGAACUCGCUGUGAAGAUGCAGUGUACCCGCGGCAAGACGGAAAGACCCCGUGAACCUUUACUAUAGCUUGACACUGAACAUUGAGCCUUGAUGUGUAGGAUAGGUGGGAGGCUUUGAAGUGUGGACGCCAGUCUGCAUGGAGCCGACCUUGAAAUACCACCCUUUAAUGUUUGAUGUUCUAACGUGGGCCCCUAAUCGGGGUUGCGGACAGUGUCUGGUGGGUAGUUUGACUGGGGCGGUCUCCUCCUAAAGAGUAACGGAGGAGCACGAAGGUUGGCUAAUCCUGGUCGGACAUCAGGAGGUUAGUGCAAUGGCAUAAGCCAGCUUGACUGCGAGCGUGACGGCGCGAGCAGGUGCGAAAGCAGGUCAUAGUGAUCCGGUGGUUCUGAAUGGAAGGGCCAUCGCUCAACGGAUAAAAGGUACUCCGGGGAUAACAGGCUGAUACCGCCCAAGAGUUCAUAUCGACGGCGGUGUUUGGCACCUCGAUGUCGGCUCAUCACAUCCUGGGGCUGAAGUAGGUCCCAAGGGUAUGGCUGUUCGCCAUUUAAAGUGGUACGCGAGCUGGGUUUAGAACGUCGUGAGACAGUUCGGUCCCUAUCUGCCGUGGGCGCUGGAGAACUGAGGGGGGCUGCUCCUAGUACGAGAGGACCGGAGUGGACGCAUCACUGGUGUUCGGGUUGUCAUGCCAAUGGCACUGCCCGGUAGCUAAAUGCGGAAGAGAUAAGUGCUGAAAGCAUCUAAGCACGAAACUUGCCCCGAGAUGAGUUCUCCCUGAGACUUAGAGUCUCCUGAAGGAACGUUGAAGACGACGACGUUGAUAGGCCGGGUGUGUAAGCGCAGCGAUGCGUUGAGCUAACCGGUACUAAUGAACCGUGAGGCUUAACCU
This 2902-nucleotide ribosomal RNA is filed under the name Escherichia coli. RNAcentral's name for it is "23S ribosomal RNA". It matches the Rfam family "Bacterial large subunit ribosomal RNA". The record is from RNAcentral. Lineage: Bacteria; Pseudomonadati; Pseudomonadota; Gammaproteobacteria; Enterobacterales; Enterobacteriaceae.